Molecule: ribosomal RNA, 855 nt
Filed under: Gammarus nekkensis
Lineage: Eukaryota; Metazoa; Arthropoda; Malacostraca; Amphipoda; Gammaridae
Description: partial large subunit ribosomal RNA
Source: RNAcentral
CUUACAAUUAGAAUCACCUUAUUUAGGCUUUCUUAUAUGUAAAAUAAAAUUAAAGUUAAAGAAGAUAUAUAAAUUGUACCUUUUGUAUCAGGGAAAUUUAAAAUUAUAUUAAAUUAUUAAUCGAGUAAAAUGGAUCUUUAUAUUUAGGAUUUAGUUGUAUUUAAACCUUUUAAAUAAAUAAGAAGUGAAAAAUUUACGACGUUUAUGAUAUCUAAUUGUUUUUUAAUCAAAAGGUUAAGCUUUUGAUUGUCUAAAUUACUAUUUAUACAGAGAAAACUAGGCUUUAGAUUAGCCAGGUUAAUAGAUUGUUUUAAGUAAUCUUUUAAAAAUUUGGGAAAUUAGAAUUAUAAAGGCAAUAUUUAAAUAUUUAGAUAAAUAUAAAUAAUGAAUUUAUUGAAUAAAUAACGAAAAUUGAAAAUAACUCAUGAAGGCUAGAAAGUUUAACAAAAACAUUUCUGUUUGUUUAAAUAAAAGUAAAACCUGCCCGGUGAUGUAAAAGUUAAACGGCUGCGGUAUUUUGACUGUGCUAAGGUAGCAUAAUAAUUUGCUAUUUAAUUGUUAGCUGGUAUGAAAGGUUAAACUAGCUUAUUUAGUUUGUAAGUUUUAUUAGGAGAUUUAGGUUAGGGUAAUAAUUCCUUAAUGUUUUAGGGGACGAUAAGACCCUAAAAGCUUAACAAAUGUUAUUUUAUUAAUUAUAAAAUUAAAUUUGUUUUACUGGGGCGGUAUUAACAAUUAAACUGUUAUUAUAUUGAAAGAUCCUUUAUAUAAAGAAAUAACGGGUAAGUUACUUUAGGGAUAACAGUGUGAUAUAUUUAGAGAGAUCUUAUCGAUAAAUAUGAUUGCUACCUCGAUGUU